UACGUAGGGGGCAAGCGUUGUCCGGAUUUACUGGGCGUAAAGCGCGUGUAGGCGGCUAUGUAAGUCGGGCGUGAAAUCCCACGGCUCAACCGUGGAAGUGCACCCGAAACUGCGUAGCUAGAGUCCUGGAGAGGAAGGUGGAAUGCUUGGUGUAGAGGUGAAAUUCGUAGAUAUCAAGCGGAACACCGGUGGCGAAGGCGGCCUUCUGGACAGUGACUGACGCUGAGGAGCGAAAGCGUGGGGAGCGAACAGG
RNAcentral lists this ribosomal RNA (253 nucleotides) under uncultured bacterium. RNAcentral describes it as "partial 16S ribosomal RNA". It matches the Rfam family "Bacterial small subunit ribosomal RNA", at positions 524 to 776 of the family's 1533-position model. The record is from RNAcentral.